AGUGAACGCUGGCGGUAGGCCUAACACAUGCAAGUCGAACGGCAGCACAGUAAGAGCUUGCUCUUACGGGUGGCGAGUGGCGGACGGGUGAGGAAUACAUCGGAAUCUACUUUUUCGUGGGGGAUAGCGUAGGGAAACUUACGCUAAUACCGCAUACGACCUACGGGUGAAAGCAGGGGAUCUUCGGACCUUGCGCGAUUGAAUGAGCCGAUGUCGGAUUAGCUAGUUGGCGGGGUAAAGGCCCACCAAGGCGACGAUCCGUAGCUGGUCUGAGAGGAUGAUCAGCCACACUGGAACUGAGACACGGUCCAGACUCCUACGGGAGGCAGCAGUGGGUAAUAUUGGACAAUGGGCGCAAGCCUGAUCCAGCCAUACCGCGUGGGUGAAGAAGGCCUUCGGGUUGUAAAGCCCUUUUGUUGGGAAAGAAAAGCAGCAGGUUAAUACCCCGCUGUUCUGACGGUACCCAAAGAAUAAGCACCGGCUAACUUCGUG
This 492-nucleotide ribosomal RNA is filed under the name uncultured bacterium. RNAcentral's name for it is "partial 16S ribosomal RNA". It matches the Rfam family "Bacterial small subunit ribosomal RNA", at positions 29 to 507 of the family's 1533-position model. The record is from RNAcentral.